RNAcentral lists this small RNA (30 nucleotides) under Bombyx mori (domestic silkworm). RNAcentral's name for it is "ovarian small RNA-5536". The record is from RNAcentral. Lineage: Eukaryota; Metazoa; Arthropoda; Insecta; Lepidoptera; Bombycidae.
UAAACAACGCUAGUCACUACAAGAUACGAA